CUUUGUCCUUCCCAAGAUUAAGUAAAGUGGAGCUAAAGUCUCUCUCAAAAUUCAGGAGGUUUUCCAAAAUUAGGAGAGAUUUUUCAAGCUUGAAAACUUUGAUAAUAGAAGAAUGUCCUUGUUUAAAAGAGUUCACAAUCAACCAAGCAAUUUUAGUAGAUUUCUUAGGUCCAACGAAUAACACUUUAUCUGAGUUGGAUGAAUUGAGAUUAGAUGGUUGUCAACCGUUGCUCUACGUAGCCUUCUUUAAGACACCGCCCAAGAAGAUGAAAUUGAAGAAAGUCUUUGUGAGUAAUUGCUAUCAAUUGAAAAUGGUAAUACUGGUGAAGGAAAUACCUAACUCUAUAAAGCUCCUCCACGAAUUAGAUGAAUUGAUUUUGAUUAAUCUUCCUAAUUUAACUCACAUCAUCGACAAAGAAUGUGUUAGGUUAUAUCAAAAUCUACGUACCCUACAAAUAGAAAGAUGUGGGUUUCUUCAUUGGUUGCCAAUUCCUGUAACUUUAACAAAUAUGAAAAUUUUGGAUUGUGAUUCCUUGCAUAAGACCGUGGUCAUCAGAAAAGAAAAGGAAGAAAAAGAAAAAGUCAUUUUUUCUCAAUUAAAGGAAGUUAUUCUUCAAAAUCUAAGAAAUUUAUAUACUGCAUUUCCUUUUGGGUCAGAAUUUCCAUCCUUGGAAAUACUGAAAAUAACAAAUUGUCCUUCUCUAAUGACAUUUGUUGAAGAACACAAUGAUUUGAAAGAGCAUAAAGAACAAGCUGUUUCAACAUGUUUCUUUCCAAAUUCGUUGUCAUUGGAAAAGUUGAAGGUGCUUUAUAUAUAGAUCAACAUAUUAAAGAUCUUUGGCACUAUAGUUUGUCUUCUGAAUCAUUUUGUCAGAUAGAAAAUUUGACUUUAAGCAACAAUAAUAAAUGUUAAGUGUCAUCUCUUCUAGACUGAUCAUAAGAUUCAACAACAUGAAAGAUUUGACUUUAGACAAAUGUGAAUCAUUGAUUACAAUAUUCAUUCUUGAAGAUGAUCAUCUAUGCAAGAAAUGUUUCCUCAACUGAGGAAAAUAGUCAUUGAGUAACCUAAAUAAUUUGAAAUUUAUAUGGAACAAAAACCUAAUGUUCCAUUCUUCUCAAAUUUGGUGUCACUUUUCAUUGUCCAUUGUGAUAGCAUUGAAAGUUUAUUUUCACUUUCUUCCUCCAAAUAUCUUAAGAAACUCAAAUUACUGAGGCGUUAGUUGUAAAGAACUAAAGCAAGUGAUCUCGAGUGAUGAAGAUGAAAAUGAUCUACCAAUUUUCCCCAAAUGAAAUGUUAGUAUUGAAGAAUCUCCAAAGUUGGUGAAUUUCAGUCAUUAUCAUGGAACUCUUGAUUGGCCUAGUUUCAAACUUUAAGGGUUAGCAAUGUUCCAAGUAUGAAAAUAUUUUCAAGAGGCAACAUCAACACACCAUUGUUGAGAUCAUAGAUAUAACAUUUAUUAAGAAGCUUUGGUUUGAAAAUCUAAACGAGACUAUAUCAUUUAUUUACAACAAUCCAGAAUUAAUUAAGUGACUCAAAUAAAAAAAGAGGAACAACUUCUACAACAAGACAACAAUGGAUAAAAGAAUGAACAUUAAUCUCUUGAGAAUCGAAGACAUAGGAUUACUCUUUGUGGCGACCUCUUCAAGAUUAAGCGAUGAAUUUAUCAAUUUA
Molecule: non-coding RNA, 1672 nt
Organism: Vigna umbellata (rice bean)
Lineage: Eukaryota; Viridiplantae; Streptophyta; Magnoliopsida; Fabales; Fabaceae
Source: RefSeq, a predicted model, not a curated record